Gossypium raimondii (Peruvian cotton) is the source of this 87-nucleotide microRNA precursor. It matches the Rfam family "MIR7486 microRNA precursor family". The record is from Rfam. Lineage: Eukaryota; Viridiplantae; Streptophyta; Magnoliopsida; Malvales; Malvaceae.
CUCAAGGAAACGCUUUGUCCACGUGGACAGAAAACGCGUCCUUGAGGGCACGCUUUCUGUUUACGUGGACAAAGCACUUCCUUGAGG